CACGUAGGGCGCAAGCGUUGUCCGGAAUUAUUGGGCGGAAAGAGCUCGUAGGUGGGUUGCUGCGUCCGCUGUGAAAACCCAAGGCUUAACCUUGGGCUUGCAGUGGAUACGGGCAGACUAGAGGUAGGUAGGGGAGAAUGGAAUUCCCGGUGUAGCGGUGAAAUGCGCAGAUAUCGGGAGGAACACCGGUGGCGAAGGCGGUUCUCUGGGCCUUACCUGACACUGAGGAGCGAAAGCGUGGGGAGCGAACAGG
This 253-nucleotide ribosomal RNA is filed under the name uncultured bacterium. RNAcentral's name for it is "partial 16S ribosomal RNA". It matches the Rfam family "Bacterial small subunit ribosomal RNA", at positions 524 to 776 of the family's 1533-position model. The record is from RNAcentral.